This 492-nucleotide ribosomal RNA is filed under the name uncultured bacterium. RNAcentral's name for it is "partial 16S ribosomal RNA". It matches the Rfam family "Bacterial small subunit ribosomal RNA", at positions 29 to 507 of the family's 1533-position model. The record is from RNAcentral.
AGUGAACGCUGGCGGUAGGCCUAACACAUGCAAGUCGAACGGCAGCACAGUAAGAGCUUGCUCUUACGGGUGGCGAGUGGCGGACGGGUGAGGAAUACAUCGGAAUCUACUUUUUCGUGGGGGAUAACGUAGGGAAACUUACGCUAAUACCGCAUACGACCUACGGGUGAAAGCAGGGGAUCUUCGGACCUUGCGCGAUUGAAUGAGCCGAUGUCGUAUUAGCUAGUUGGCGGGGUAAAGGCCCACCAAGGCGACGAUCCGUAGCUGGUCUGAGAGGAUGAUCGGCCACACUAGAGCUUGGACACGGACCAGGGUCCUGCGGGAGGCAGCAGUGUGGAAUAUUGGACAAUGGGCGCGAACCUGAUCCAGCCAUACCGCGUGGGUGAAGAAGGCCUUCGGGUUGUGAAGCCCUUUUGUUGGGAAAGAAAAGCAGCAGGUUAAUACCCCGCUGUUCUGACGGUACCCGAAGAAUAAGCACCGGCUAACUUCGUG